UACAGAGGGUGCAAGCGUUGUUCGGAAUUAUUGGGCGUAAAGCGCGUGUAGGCGGCCAGGCAAGUUAGGUGUGAAAGCCCUCGGCUUAACCGAGGAAGUGCGCCUAAAACUACUUGGCUUGAGUACCGGAGAGGACGGUGGAAUUCCCGGUGUAGAGGUGAAAUUCGUAGAUAUCGGGAGGAACACCGGUGGCGAAGGCGGCGACCUGGGUCGAUACUGACGCUGAUGCGCGAAAGCGUGGGGAGCAAACAGG
RNAcentral lists this ribosomal RNA (253 nucleotides) under uncultured bacterium. Its description in RNAcentral is "partial 16S ribosomal RNA". It matches the Rfam family "Bacterial small subunit ribosomal RNA", at positions 524 to 776 of the family's 1533-position model. The record is from RNAcentral.